GCCGUGGCUCAAUGGUAGAGCAUCUGCUUUCCAUCCAGAAGGUCCCCGGUUCAAUCCCUGGCAUCUCCA
Molecule: transfer RNA, 69 nt
Filed under: Sphaerodactylus townsendi
Lineage: Eukaryota; Metazoa; Chordata; Lepidosauria; Squamata; Sphaerodactylidae
Description: tRNA-Gly
Rfam family: tRNA
About the family: Transfer RNA (tRNA) molecules are approximately 80 nucleotides in length. Their secondary structure includes four short double-helical elements and three loops (D, anti-codon, and T loops).
Source: RNAcentral